GGAUUACAACCCACAAGUCUGGUUAUUUUAGCAGGAAACUGGUGAUUCCUUUUCUACCGAGAAAGCAAGCAACAGACAAGAGGAAACCAGCAUUCCUUGAGAAUCCAGUGCGCUAGAAACUCGACAGAAAUUAUCUUAUCUAAUUCUCACAUCACUCUUAGGAGGCAGACAUUAUUUUGCAGAUGAGGAAAAUGGAUCUCCCAGAAGUCAAAGAGCUUCCUCAGGAUCACACAGCAGGAACUCCACAGAACUGAGAUUCAAAAGCAGAUCACAUAUGUGGCAAAAUUGCAUAGAACUGAAUAUACACUCACAAAUGAGAGCACGUGAAACUCAUGAAAUUUGAAUAAGACAUUUGGACUACACUAAUGUCCAUUUACUGAUUGUAAUAUUGUUCUACAGUUAUGCAAAAUGUUACCAUUGAGAAAAAUUAAGUGAAGCGUCUAUAGGGAAUCUCUCUAUUAUUCCUUACAACUUCAAGCGAAUUUACAGUUACCUCAAAAAAUUUUUUUAAAAAUUUUAAACAUCUCAGUCUUAUUCAAAAGCCCAGGCUCUCUUCUUUCAACACGGUAUAUAAGCGUGCCUGCAGAAUAAGAGAGAUUUAUGCUCCUCUCUCCUUUUUAAACAGUCUUGAAUAAGUACACAUACACACACAAACACACACUCAUACACUGUAUGCAUGGUUGUUCAGUCAUCCAGUAAUAUGAUACAACACACACACACACACACGCAGUUCAUUAAGAGGAUAGCUAACCUGUUACCAGAAUACUUACAUAGAGGUCAUCUUGUAAGACAGACAAUAAUGCUCACUGGGCACUAAAACAGCCAACAGUCUUGGAAGCCUUUGAAACCUGGUGUGUGCUUGGCACUUGCAGCACAUCUCAGUUCAGACCAGCCACACGGGGCUACUGGCUGCCACAAACGCAGUGUCAGAACAAGAAGAGGAUUCGGAAUCUGUCCAGCCCAACUCCAUUAUGGUUAAAGGAAAGCUGUGUUCAGGAAGGUCUGCUGCCCCGCUCAGGAUCACACAGUGGAUGCAUGACAGCCUUAGGCCUGACCUGUCCACCUCAGCACUCGCCUACUGAGAGGGCUCAUGGCUGACUCAGACAGCUGCCAUGGAAUGAAACCCAGUGUUUACUAACAUUUUUAAACAAUCACCAUCCUCUAAGUCAUUGGCCCCUCAAAAUAUGGUUAGACAUACAAUUUCUAAAGAAAAUAGCCCAAUAUAUACUAUUUUGUUUUCUUUUUUCCCUUUCUUUCUUUGUUUCUUUUCUUCUUUCUUUAUCUUUCUUUCUUUCUUUUUUUUUUUUUUGAAACAGAAUCUCAUUCUGUUGCCUAGGCUGGAGUGCAGCAGUGCAAUCUCGGCUCACUGCAACCUCCGCCUCCCAGUUUCAAGCGAUUCUCCUGCCUCAGCCUCCAAAGUAGCUGGGACUACCUCGCCCAGCUAAUUGUCGUUGUUGUUGUUGUUGUUGUUGAGACGGAGUUUCACUCUUAUUGCCCGGGCUGGAAUGCAAUGGCGCAAUCUUGUCUCACCGCAACCUCUGCCUCCUGCGUUCAAGCGAUUCUCCUGCCUCAGCCUCCCAUAAUUUUUGUAUUUUUAGGUACAGACAGGGUUUCACCAUGUUGGCCAGACUGGUCUCAAACUCGACCUCAAGUGAUCCGCCCACCCCAACCUCCAAAAGUGCUGAGAUUACAGGCGUGAGCCACCGCACCUGGCCCCAGUAUAUACUAUUUUAAUACUUAGAAAUGACAACCCCGUAGGCCGUUUGUUAAAGCACACCCCACCCGUUUUUGACUCAGCUGUAUUGGCAUCUGAAGGGUACCAGCAGAGGGAGGGUUGGAGGCCAAGAAGGCAGUAGCUGCUGGGCCUUGCCCGUCCUCCAGGAAUGCGUGGAAGGAGUGCUUCUCCGUCCUCCAUCCUCCAUCCCACCCACAUCAGCUCCUGCCAGCAUCCCAAGGACCCAAGCUGUCUGCCAUGAUUAGUAUCAAAGGCCUUAAAAUAACUGAGUGACCUUUUUUUUCCACUCUACACACUUUGUAGUGCUUUAUAUUCUGAAUCAAGCCAAAGCCAAAAUCCAAGAAAAGUGACCAUUUCAAAAACAGAAAAUGAGCCCACUAGGAAGAGAGCAUUGCUUUCAAUAAUGAGAACAUUUGGGAGUAAACUGAAUAAUGAGGACAUCUUUGCACCUGGACUGAUGAGAAAACGAUUAGAUAGGGCAUUACAAAAAGCAACAUAAAGAUCUUUGAUUUGCAUUUGUUGUCAACUGUGAGAGAAUGGGUAUAAUUCUCUAAAGACGUAGUUUAGACCUCUUUGUACUAAAAUAUAAAGUCAAAGUGAUGAUAAAUCUUAUGGCAGUGGGCUCUGUGAGUCAUGUUUCACUCUACAUAAAAUGUCUUAGAGGCUGAAGUGCUGGGGCUAUCCUGAUACCCAAA
Molecule: long non-coding RNA, 2430 nt
Organism: Homo sapiens (human)
Lineage: Eukaryota; Metazoa; Chordata; Mammalia; Primates; Hominidae
Source: Ensembl